AUUGAACGCUGGCGGCAGGCUUAACACAUGCAAGUCGAGCGGGGGAAGGUAGCUUGCUACUGGACCUAGCGGCGGACGGGUGAGUAAUGCUUAGGUAUCUGCCUAUUAGUGGGGGACAACAUCUCGAAAGGGAUGCUAAUACCGCAUACGUCCUACGGGAGAAAGCAGGGGAUCUUCGGACCUUGCGCUAAUAGAUGAGCCUAAGUCGGAUUAGCUAGUUGGUGGGGUAAAGGCCUACCAAGGCGACGAUCUGUAGCGGGUCUGAGAGGAUGAUCCGCCACACUGGGACUGAGACACGGCACAGACUCCUACGGGAGGCAGCAGUGGGGAAUAUUGGACAAUGGGGGGAACCCUGAUCCAGCCAUGCCGCGUGUGUGAAGAAGGCCUUAUGGUUGUAAAGCACUUUAAGCGAGGAGGAGGCUACUUUAGUUAAUACCUAGAGAUAGUGGACGUUACUCGCAGAAUAAGCACCGGCUAACUCUGUGCCAGCCGCCGCCGUAA
RNAcentral lists this ribosomal RNA (501 nucleotides) under uncultured bacterium. Its description in RNAcentral is "partial 16S ribosomal RNA". It matches the Rfam family "Bacterial small subunit ribosomal RNA", at positions 30 to 523 of the family's 1533-position model. The record is from RNAcentral.